This 469-nucleotide ribosomal RNA is filed under the name uncultured soil bacterium. Its description in RNAcentral is "bacterial SSU rRNA". It matches the Rfam family "Bacterial small subunit ribosomal RNA", at positions 26 to 518 of the family's 1533-position model. The record is from RNAcentral.
AGGACGAACGCUGGCGGCAUGCCUAACACAUGCAAGUCGAACGAUAAGGCCCCUUCGGGGGUACAUAAGUGGCGAACGGGUGAGUAACACGUGGGUAACCUGCCCUUCACUGGGGGACAACCGAGGGAAACUUCGGCUAAUACCGCAUGAUGUGCGACGUCAUAAGGCGACGUACCAAAACUCCGGUGGUGAAGGAUGGGCCCGCGGCAGAUUAGCUUGUUGGUGGGGUAAAGGCCUACCAAGGCGACGAUCUGUAGCUGGUCUGAGAGGACGAUCAGCCACACUGGGACUGAGACACGGCCCAGACUCCUACGGAGGCAGCAGUGGGAAUCUUGCGCAAUGGGCGAAAGCCUGACGCAGCAAUGCCGCGUGAGGGAGAAGGUCUUAGGAUCGUAAACCUCUUUCAGUAGGACGAAAACAGACGUACCUACAGAAGAAGCCCCGGAUAACUACGUGCCAGCCAGCCGAC